This 84-nucleotide microRNA precursor is filed under the name Phlebotomus papatasi. RNAcentral's name for it is "microRNA mir-927". The record is from RNAcentral. Lineage: Eukaryota; Metazoa; Arthropoda; Insecta; Diptera; Psychodidae.
AAAUUUCAGCCCAGAAUAAAAACUCUUCUUCCCAUUAUUUUAACUUAAAAUGGGCAGAAGAGUUUUUAUUCUGGGCUGAAAUUU